GUCUCCGUGGCGCAGGGGAAAGCGCGUCGGGUUGCGGACCCGAAGGCCGCAGGUUCGAAUCCUGCCGGAGACA
This 73-nucleotide transfer RNA is filed under the name Actinomadura viridis. It matches the Rfam family "tRNA". From Rfam's summary of the family: Transfer RNA (tRNA) molecules are approximately 80 nucleotides in length. Their secondary structure includes four short double-helical elements and three loops (D, anti-codon, and T loops). RNAcentral also lists the same sequence under 1 other name. Lineage: Bacteria; Bacillati; Actinomycetota; Actinomycetes; Streptosporangiales; Thermomonosporaceae. The record is from Rfam by way of RNAcentral.